AUGCUCUGGGAGUACUUCAAGGUCCUGUGGGGCGUGAAGACGGGGGGAGAGACGAUGGGACAUCCGGCCACACGUGUCGUCCCCGCCAGCGUCGGGCCCUCCCCAAAUCGGUACCCUUUCUUCGUUGACUACUUCUCCUGUGGUCUCUGUCCCCCUUUCUCUGAUUUCUUCAAGGAUAUCAUGUACACCUUCGGCUUCCGCCUCCUAGACUUCACCCCAAAUGUCGUGGCGUGUAUGGCCCUUUUCGCACACCUUUGCGAGGGCUUCGUCGGGGUGCAUCCCAGCACGGCGCUCUUCCGCCAUUAUUUCUCCCCUCGGAUCCAAAAGGGAGGCGCCAUCACCGGCAGCGUCACUUGGAUCCCAAGGGACAAAGGAGCAUACCCGGACGGUGCCAUGAAGGAAAGGUGGGAAGAGUGGCGGGGCCGGUGGUGCUUUAUCGAGGAGGAGAAACCGCCGGCGUUCUAUGAGGUCCGUCAGGUGGCGCCGGUCCGUGGAAAGGACUGGGGCGACGUCGACGUCAACGAUGAGAAGCUCACGAUCGCCACCACCAGGAUCCUCAGGCUUACCCGGGCCGGGCUCACCCUUGAGAUGAUCGGCGCGGACUUCAUCCGCCUCCAGAUUGCCCCUCUGCACGACAAGGGGAGGCCAGCCUGGCUUUUUGUGAAUGCUGCUGAUAUCAUGAGCCUCCGCCCUGGCCUCGACCAUAAUCUGACAGUGGUGAGGCAUGCUCAUCUCUGCUAG
Molecule: ribosomal RNA, 741 nt
Filed under: Triticum aestivum (bread wheat)
Lineage: Eukaryota; Viridiplantae; Streptophyta; Magnoliopsida; Poales; Poaceae
Description: partial small subunit ribosomal RNA
Source: RNAcentral